This 253-nucleotide ribosomal RNA is filed under the name uncultured bacterium. RNAcentral describes it as "partial 16S ribosomal RNA". It matches the Rfam family "Bacterial small subunit ribosomal RNA", at positions 524 to 776 of the family's 1533-position model. The record is from RNAcentral.
UACGUAGGGUCCAAGCGUUAAUCGGAAUUACUGGGCGUAAAGCGUGCGCAGGCGGUUGUGUAAGCUAGAUGUGAAAUCCCCGGGCUUAACCUGGGAAUGGCAUUUGGGACUGCACGGCUAGAGUACGGCAGAGGAGACUAGAAUUCCUGGUGUAGCAGUGAAAUGCGUAGAUAUCAGGAGGAAUACCGAUGGCGAAGGCAGGUCUCUGGGUCGAUACUGACGCUCAUGCACGAAAGCGUGGGGAGCAAACAGG